AGCAGCCGCGGUAAUUCCAGCUCCAAUAGCGUAUAUUAAAGUUGUUGCAGUUAAAAAGCUCGUAGUUGAGUUUCGGGGUUAGUAGGUUGGUCAUGCCUCUGGUAUGUACUGGCCUCACUGAUUCCUCCUUCCUGAUGAACCUUAAUGCCAUUAAUUUGGUGUUUUGGGGAAUUUGGACUGUUACUUUGAAAAAAUUAGAGUGUUUAAAGCAAGCUAACGCCUGAAUACAUUAGCAUGGAAUAAUGAAAUAGGACGUUCGAUCCUAUUUUGUUGGUUUCUAGGAUUGACGUAAUGAUUAAUAGGGAUAGUUGGGGGCAUUAGUAUUCAAUUGUCAGAGGUGAAAUUCUUGGAUUUAUUGAAGACUAACUACUGCGAAAGCAUUUGCCAAGGAUGUUUUCAUUAAUCAAGAACGAAAGUUAGGGGAUCGAAGACGAUCAGAUACCGUCGUAGUCUUAACCAUAAACUAUGCCGACUAGGGAUCGGAUGAUGUUAAUUUUUUAAUGACUCAUUCGGCGCCUUACG
This 522-nucleotide ribosomal RNA is filed under the name uncultured Glomeromycotina. Its description in RNAcentral is "SSU rRNA". It matches the Rfam family "Eukaryotic small subunit ribosomal RNA", at positions 569 to 1092 of the family's 1831-position model. Lineage: Eukaryota; Fungi; Glomeromycota. The record is from RNAcentral.